Molecule: long non-coding RNA, 419 nt
Organism: Amphiprion ocellaris (clown anemonefish)
Lineage: Eukaryota; Metazoa; Chordata; Actinopteri; Pomacentridae
Exons: 3
Source: RefSeq, a predicted model, not a curated record
GUUAACAUUUGAACUCUCACAUCCUGGUUCUUCUGUUGUUUUGGUGCUGUUGCCUCCUGAUCCUGAAGCUCAUCUGUUCGUCAUAAUCAACAAAAAUGCUUCUUUAGUACCGAGCUGCUGGACUCUGAUGCCAGGAGUCACAGUUAACUUCAACAAAGUGCAGGGUGACGACCCGGUGACCUUCACUUCUGACAUCCUGACUCACCGUCCACAUAACCGGGUUACUGGCUCUGGCUCCCAGGAAGGCCACGCCGUCCUUCAGCUUCACCCUGAAAUGCACAGAGAGACGCUGGUCAAAACACAAUGUCUAUUCAACUUUGCUCCUUGAUGAAAGAAACUGAAGCGUGAGAAAAAGAGCAGCAGUGAACGAGGAGAGAGGCCGUCGGAGAGGAAGAGGAGGAGAAAAAAUGAUGAAGAUG